Molecule: non-coding RNA, 533 nt
Organism: Lupinus albus (white lupine)
Lineage: Eukaryota; Viridiplantae; Streptophyta; Magnoliopsida; Fabales; Fabaceae
Source: the annotation of a GenBank genome assembly
GCUGCACCUCCUCCAUGACCCGCUGUUGGGCUUGGAAACGACAUUGUGAAGACGUCGGAGUCGCCGCAUGAGCCUGCUCGUGACAGAACCCAUUACGAAGAUGAGCGGCGGCAGUACCCCUGAGUUCAAAACCCAGGGAUGAAUCUGCAUGUUUAAAGGUCCUAACAUGGUAAUCCUAACUAAAGCCUUUGAUGUCUUGCUUGUUACUUUAGAUAUUUUGUUGGCUGUGUUAAUGUUUUUACUGGGACUUAUGUAGAAAACGCAAGAACAAGAAAGAAAAGAAAAAUGAUACAAUUUCAAAGUGGAUGAGAAUGAAGAAUGUGGCAAUCCUUCAUGCAUGGAUGUUCAUAACAAGAAUCUUUGUGUGUUCAGAGUCCCCUCUAUUUAAUAAAUGCAGCACUACCACUCUUCCUAGAAAAUAGGCAACUUCCCUCAUUAUCUUCAUCUGGUUAACAACCCAGAUUCAUCUCCACUAUUCCCUCCUUUUUAUUUGGAGUGGGGCAUCACUCUAAUUUUGAUUGAAUACCCAUGCC